UUUGCCCUUAGCCACACAGCUUAUGAGUGAAUCCAGGCAAACAGAACAAGACAAAAAACAAACAGGCUGAGCACUCUCCCCUCCUUCCUUAACUGGAGCUACACAGAAGGAGUUGAGUGAUGGUAGAUAUCAGGCCCUGGUCUGCGGCUUGGAAGUUUCCUGUGAAUAAGAAAAACAUCAUCGCUUCUUGAGUCACAAGGAUGAUAGGAUGAGAAAAAGAAAGGACAAAGGCACCAGAGGAGGAACCAGACACUGGAACAUGUCGUCUGAUGUACAUCACACCAAGAAAUAAAAAAAGAAUUGGAAAGCCAAUGUCCAAUUAUUUACUAAAACAGAAUCCACUGGAGAGAAAUGCAAAGGCAGGUAAAAAGGCAAUCUCUUAACAUGAAAACUCACAACUGUAAAAUGAGAACCUAAACUAUACAGCGACAAACUCAGGAAAAAGUCUCCAGCUACUGCUGUCUCUCAGACUCUCACAGUAUGUGUAACCACUUCCUCCUCUGCACGGAAUCACCCCAGAAGAUCAACUCUACUAGAUCAUUUGAGGACAAUGAACAAAGUCUCAAGACUGAAUUCCCACAGAAAACAUUCUCAUGAAACCACCCAAUAUUCUGGUGAAGUUAAAGAAGGGCAUGUGUUCGGAGACAACCAGAAGCAGCAAUGCUCAAAACCACAAAACUCUGGAUUGCCGACUCUGCACAUCCUGGUUCCUCUAGAUACAGUUCAGUGGCACAUUCACAAAUAAACGUUUUCAAAAACUGCCCUCAGGCAGUUCUAGAGAAAUGCUUUGACUUGCCUAAUGGUAUAAUGUCAAGAAAGGAAGACGAGCACUGAUCAUUCAUACUCAUUAUUACAGUCACAGGGCACUGUCUGACUUGACAGAUACAGCCGAGCAGUUAAAAGGUUAUGGGAAUUUAAGUCCAUUAUGGUCAUACGAUUCUUAUGGACCCAGAGAUAUGAAAUUAAUCAGCCACAUGUGUAGGGACAAAGUUUGUCAUAAAUAGAUAUAAGUUAUCUGCAUGCUAAGAACUUAGUUACUUAACUCUGUUUCCUCAUGUUAAUAUAAACAUAAUUAUAGAAUGCAAAUGAAAUACUUAGCCUGGAGCCUAUUAUAUAGGAAGCACUCAAUAAUUUCAAACUAUUGAGUAUAUUAUUAGAUAGGCUCCAUAAUUAUUUAUUCCUUUUUCAACAGACAGUAUGAUCUAUUGAAAAUAAAGCCAAACUAGAUUUCUUUGACCCACUCCUUUUUCUGUUUGUAUUGUUGGCAAGUUGUUCUAAAUCAACUUGCCAACAUACUAUUAACAUGUUAUUAACAUAGAAGGGAUGCUUAUUUUGUUUGCUUUGUAAGAAAUGCUUCUGAUUCAGUAACUGGGCAAUUUAUUUAAAUAUAAGUAAAAAGCAGAUUUUAUUAAAAACUACUUUGUGCUAUCAUAAAUAACUCAUUGUUCUCUGUGAUUCAGAAGUGGAUUUAUUAUUCUUUUGGGGUUGGGGAAGGCACUGAGACUGGUUUCAGCACUGAUAUUUUGCUUUGGUCCACAGACAGUCCAAGUCUAAUGAGUUACUAAAGGAAAAUGACAUUUUACUGAACUGUUUUCUUCAUAAAUAUAACAGAAUGUAGGAAAAAUCAACAGUAAAACAGAUGUACCUAAAAUAUUAUUAUUCCUCAUGUAAGAAAACCAUCUUGAAA
This 1687-nucleotide long non-coding RNA is filed under the name Homo sapiens (human). RNAcentral's name for it is "HSALNT0045432". The record is from RNAcentral. Lineage: Eukaryota; Metazoa; Chordata; Mammalia; Primates; Hominidae.